CCUACGGGCGGCAGCAGUGAGGAAUAUUGGUCAAUGGCCGGAAGGCUGAACCAGCCAUGCCGCGUGAAGGUCAGUGCCCUAUGGGCGUUAAACUUCUUUUGUGCGGGAGCAAUAAUGGUCACGUGUGGCCAGACGAGAGUACCGUACGAAUAAGCAUCGGCUAACUCCGUGCCAGCAGCCGCGGUAAUACGGGGGAUGCAAGCGUUAUCCGGAUUUAUUGGGUUUAAAGGGUGCGUCGGUUGGGAGGUAAGUCAGCGGUGAAAUGCCCCCGCUCAACGGGGUGAAGUGCCAUUGAUACUGCCUGGCUGGAAUGCGGAUGCCGUAGGAGGAAUGUGUGGUGUAGCGGUGAAAUGCAUAGAUAUCACACAGAACACCGAUUGCGAAGGCAUCUCACGAAGCCGCGAUUGACGCUGAUGCACGAAAGCGUGGGUAUCAAACAGGAUUAGAUACCCCUGUAGUC
RNAcentral lists this ribosomal RNA (460 nucleotides) under uncultured bacterium. Its description in RNAcentral is "partial 16S ribosomal RNA". It matches the Rfam family "Bacterial small subunit ribosomal RNA", at positions 338 to 795 of the family's 1533-position model. The record is from RNAcentral.